Humulus lupulus (European hop) is the source of this 281-nucleotide long non-coding RNA. RefSeq lists it as uncharacterized. Lineage: Eukaryota; Viridiplantae; Streptophyta; Magnoliopsida; Rosales; Cannabaceae. The record is from RefSeq and is a predicted model, not a curated record. The transcript has 3 exons.
CCUUCUACUAGAAGAGAAGGGUUUUCUGCCAUUCCUAAUGUAAAAUUGUAAGAUGUAGGUGGACUAGAUCUUAUAAGGAAGAAACUUGAUCGAUUCAUAAUUAGGCAUUUAAAAUACCACGAGAAAUUUAAGUGUGUUUGUGACUGGGAUGAUCAUGAAAAUAAGUUUAUUGAAGUUGAAGGAAUUCUGAGAAGACAGAUAAGGAUGUCUCUUAUUCCUAGUGUGCAACCUUUCCAUGCAAUAGCCUAUCCAAUUGAUCCAAUGCUUGCACUAGAGAUAAG